AGAGUUUGAUCAUGGCUCAGGAUGAACGCUAGCGGCAGGCUUAAUACAUGCAAGUCGAGGGGCAGCAUAGGGUAGCAAUACCUGGGUGGCGACCGGCAAACGGGUGCGGAACACGUACAGAACCUUCCUUCGAGCGGGGAAUAGCCCAGAGAAAUUUGGAUUAAUACCCCAUAGUAUAUUGUGGUGGCAUCACUAUGAUAUUAAAGAUUUAUCACUUGAAGAUGGCUGUGCGUCUGAUUAGGUAGUUGGUGGGGUAACGGCCCACCAAGCCAGCGAUCAGUAACUGGUGUGAGAGCACGACCAGUCACACGGGCACUGAGACACGGGCCCGACUCCUACGGGAGGCAGCAGUAAGGAAUAUUGGUCAAUGGACGCAAGUCUGAACCAGCCAUGCCGCGUGGAGGAUGAAGGUCCUCUGGAUUGUAAACUUCUUUUAUCUGGGACGAAAAAGGGCCUUUCUAGGUCAACUGACGGUACCAGAUGAAUAAGCACCGGCUAACUCCGUGCCAGCAGCCGCGGUAAUACGGAGGGUGCAAGCGUUAUCCGGAUUCACUGGGUUUAAAGGGUGCGUAGGCGGGCAUGUAAGUCCGUGGUGAAAUCUCCGAGCUUAACUCGGAAACUGCCAUGGAUACUAUGUGUCUUGAAUGUUGUGGAGGUGAGCGGAAUAUGUCAUGUAGCGGUGAAAUGCUUAGAUAUGACAUAGAACACCAAUUGCGAAGGCAGCUCACUACACAAAUAUUGACGCUGAGGCACGAAAGCGUGGGGAUCAAACAGGAUUAGAUACCCUGGUAGUCCACGCCCUAAACGAUGAUUACUCGACAUACGUGAUACACAAUGUGUGUCUGAGCGAAAGCAUUAAGUAAUCCACCUGGGAAGUA
This 878-nucleotide ribosomal RNA is filed under the name uncultured bacterium. Its description in RNAcentral is "bacterial SSU rRNA". It matches the Rfam family "Bacterial small subunit ribosomal RNA", at positions 8 to 882 of the family's 1533-position model. The record is from RNAcentral.